Nematostella vectensis (starlet sea anemone) is the source of this 1141-nucleotide long non-coding RNA. RefSeq lists it as uncharacterized. The record is from RefSeq and is a predicted model, not a curated record. NCBI's taxonomy places the organism in Eukaryota, Metazoa, Cnidaria, Anthozoa, Actiniaria, Edwardsiidae. The transcript has 2 exons.
CACGCUCUACAUGGCUAUGACGUCACUGGCCCUUUCUGCUCUCGCCACAAAUGGCGUCUGUCCCUUUGACUGAAGCGACGUCAUUUUUGGCAGCCCUAGAAAACAUGCUUUUCUAUCAUCAAAGCUGUAAAGAGUAAGAAAUACCACAUUUUCUCACCGGUUAUAAGUCACCAAGAUUUGCUGCCAAAAAGUCAUUACAGCAACAUUCGAGCCAAGAAGUCCAAACAUCAUUUACAAAUAUGCACAUGAAUGCCAUUUAGUUAGAUGAUAACUUAAGUAAAGCUCUGCAACAAAUUUCACAAUAUAUUGUGUGCAGAGCACAUAUAUUGAAAAAAAUAUGUAUUAUUUAUUUAGGUAGGGGGGGGGGGUGAUGCACAGUACAUCAAUAUCGGGGGGCACAGCCAUGCCCCUAAUGCUCAUUUUUUUUAUACAUUUUUUUAUUUGGGGAAACCCCCUGCUACGGCCAUGUAGUUUUGCAUAUUUUACAUUUACAAAAAUGACCCAUUCAUAAAAACAAACAAAUCUAAAGAAGGCCAAUCGUGCAGCCGUUUUAUGCUCCCACGUAAUGCCAGGUCACACAAAGAAUCCAUUUCCAUCGGCUAAUUCAAGCGAGUUACCAAAAUAUUUUUAUUCAAAUAUUGUCAAUAACAUAUCAGACUUCAUUUGUAGAUCGUUAUUUUGAAGCUUCCUCAUGAAAAAAACUGUAUGUGAAAAAAAUUCACCAUUCUAUGUUUUAACUUUAUUGUUACACCUUUACCCUUGUCAACUAACAGCAUCCGUUGCAAUCAGAUAAGUUAUCUUUUCAUAUAGUUUAUCAAGCAUUGUACUUUAGAGAUCUUUUUUUAAGAUUUGAUUAAAGACAGCAAAAAUUGUGCGACAGAUACCUGUCUUGUGUGUGUUUCUUUACUAAGAGUAGAUAUGGAAUCCAGAUGAAACUCCCUAUGACUGGCAGCUUGAAAUUUAGUCUUUCCCUGAACGUUUCUUUUUCAGAGAAGGAAAGGCUACUUUAAUGUCAUGUAGUUGAUUUCUAAGAACUAGGGCAAUGUCAUCAAAUGACAUAUAGCAGUCCUAUUGUUGAUCUCACAACUGUCCUGUAGGAUUCUAAAACCUAUAGCCAUCAUGGUCUUUAGUUUUGUUUCUG